This 497-nucleotide ribosomal RNA is filed under the name uncultured bacterium. RNAcentral describes it as "partial 16S ribosomal RNA". It matches the Rfam family "Bacterial small subunit ribosomal RNA", at positions 28 to 507 of the family's 1533-position model. The record is from RNAcentral.
GAUGAACGCUGGCGGCGUGCCUAAUACAUGCAAGUCGAGCGAACAGACGAGGAGCUUGCUCCUCUGACGUUAGCGGCGGACGGGUGAGUAACACGUGGAUAACCUACCUAUAAGACUGGGAUAACUUCGGGAAACCGGAGCUAAUACCGGAUAAUAUAUUGAACCGCAUGGUUCAAUAGUGAAAGACGGUUUUGCUGUCACUUAUAGAUGGAUCCGCGCCGCAUUAGCUAGUUGGUAAGGUAACGGCUUACCAAGGCAACGAUGCGUAGCCGACCUGAGAGGGUGGUCGGCCACACUGGAACUGGGCCACGGUCCAGACUCCUGCGGGAGGCAGCAGUAGGGAAUCUUCCGCAAUGGGCGAAAGCCUGACGGAGCAACGCCACGUGAGUGAUGAAGGUCUUCGGAUCGUAAAACUCUGUUAUUAGGGAAGAACAAAUGUGUAAGUAACUAUGCACGUCUUGACGGUACCUAAUCAGAAAGCCACGGCUAACUACGUG